RNAcentral lists this ribosomal RNA (599 nucleotides) under Geomicrobium sediminis. RNAcentral describes it as "bacterial SSU rRNA". It matches the Rfam family "Bacterial small subunit ribosomal RNA", at positions 81 to 665 of the family's 1533-position model. Lineage: Bacteria; Bacillati; Bacillota; Bacilli; Caryophanales. The record is from RNAcentral.
ACCUCAUUGGGUCAGCGGCGGACGGGUGAGUAACACGUGGGCAACCUGCCCAACAGACUGGGAUAACUCCGGGAAACCGGAGCUAAUACCGGAUAGGCUCUUUUCACCACCUGGUGAAAAGAGAAAAGGCGGUUUCGGCCGCCACUGUUGGAUGGGCCCGCGGCGCAUUAGCUAGUUGGUGAGGUAAGGGCUCACCAAGGCGACGAUGCGUAGCCGACCUGAGAGGGUGAUCGGCCACACUGGAACUGAGACACGGUCCAGACUCCUACGGGAGGCAGCAGUAGGGAAUCAUCCGCAAUGGGCGAAAGCCUGACGGUGCAAUGCCGCGUGAGUGAUGAAGGUUUUCGGAUCGUAAAGCUCUGUUGUGAGGGAAGAACAAGUUCGGGAGGAAAUGCCCGAGCCGUGACGGUACCUCACCAGAAAGCCACGGCUAACUACGUGCCAGCAGCCGCGGUAAUACGUAGGUGGCAAGCGUUGUCCGGAAUUAUUGGGCGUAAAGGGCACGCAGGCGGUUCUUUAAGUCUGAUGUGAAAGGCUGUGGCUCAACCACAGAAUUGCAUUGGAAACUGGAGAACUUGAGUGCAGAAGAGGAGAGUGGA